CUAGCCGGCCAUAGCAUGCGGGAUCGACCUGGACUCAUUCCGAACCCAGAAGUCAAACCGCAUGUCGCCGUCAUAUUAGUGAGGUGCGUGAGCCCUCGUGAGGUGGCGGUGCUGGCACCU
RNAcentral lists this ribosomal RNA (120 nucleotides) under Nitrososphaerota archaeon. The record is from RNAcentral. Lineage: Archaea; Thermoproteati; Nitrososphaerota.